UGGUUUUACCCCAAAGAGAUGCACAUUUGAAGAGAGACUCAGAGGAAGGUAUAGAGACAUUGAGAGAGAGAGAGAGAGAGAGAAAGCGGUGUAUAGAGAGACCGAUGAAAGGAAUCCGACCACCCCAAUCGAUGAAGGGGAUGAUGGCGACGUCUUAAGGCUGAGUUCUCCGCCGACUUCAGCAAACACAUUUUUUGGCAGAGAGCAUACCAGAUUGGAUAUUGUGUGCCACUGAUUUGUACUCGAACCCUAAUUUCAUAAGGGUUUAGACUGGGAUUUCUCUCAGGUUUUUGACUAAAUUGUUGCUGGUGAAGAGGUUUAGGAAGUGUGAUGUUACAAUUUCUUGCGCACAGGUUAGAAGUUUAUCUGAGCAAAGAAAAUUUAAAGGAGGUGCAUUUUAGUAAUAGGUUUUAUAAAAUAAAAUACAUGUAAUCUUACUUAGAAAUGUAUUUAUUCAUUGCACCAAACAUGAACUUAUGUUGAC
RNAcentral lists this long non-coding RNA (484 nucleotides) under Helianthus annuus (common sunflower). RNAcentral describes it as "sRNA HanXRQr2_Chr13g0605121". The record is from RNAcentral. Lineage: Eukaryota; Viridiplantae; Streptophyta; Magnoliopsida; Asterales; Asteraceae.